AGAGGGUGCACUAACAUUUUUAUC
This 24-nucleotide non-coding RNA is filed under the name Arabidopsis thaliana (thale cress). The record is from RNAcentral. Lineage: Eukaryota; Viridiplantae; Streptophyta; Magnoliopsida; Brassicales; Brassicaceae.